Molecule: unclassified non-coding RNA, 330 nt
Filed under: Hevea brasiliensis (rubber tree)
Lineage: Eukaryota; Viridiplantae; Streptophyta; Magnoliopsida; Malpighiales; Euphorbiaceae
Source: RNAcentral
AAAUGAUAGAUUUAAUUUCUUUAUUUGAUGUAUUUAAGUUUGUUACUUAAUUUUGUGUAUUAGUUUUACUUCUAUUUUUAGAUAACGAUUUAUUUUAUGAACUUUGCUAAUUUUUCACAAAAAAAAAAAUGAAUAUGGACAGGCAAUUACUGUUAUGUUACAACCAUUAGAGGCCUAUUUUUGUUAUGUGCGACUAUGAUGUAAAUCCAUGUGAUGGAGAGCCUAGUUUCAAGCCUAGUUUAGCAUUGAGACCUGCUUGUUUGUAAUCCACACUCCUUGGCUCGUGAUUUCAAUAUAGAGAUACACAUUCUCAAUUUUAUUAGCUCAAAU